GGGCAGUAAAUACCACCAGCGUUGUACAGGAGAAGAGGAGGGAGGCACUUCACGGGAACAGCCACAGGAACAGCCACAGGAACAGCAACAAGUACCCCGGCACAUCGACUCUGUACCCCGGCACAUCGACUCUGUACCCCGGCACAUCGACUCGGUACCCCUGCACAUCGACUCCCCUGGCACAUCGACUCGGUACCCCUGCACAUCGACUCGGUACCCCGGCACAUCGACUCUGUACCCCGGCACAUCGACUCAGUACCCCGGCACAUCGACUCGGUACCCCGGCACAUCGACUCGGUACCCCUGCACAUCGACUCAGUACCCCUGCACAUCGACUCGGUACCCCUGCACAUCGACUCUGUACCCCUGCACAUUGACUCUGUACCCCGGCACAUCGACUCUGUACCCCGGCACAUUGACUCUGUACCCCGGCACAUUGACUCAGUACCCCGGCACAUUGACUCAGUACCCCGGCAGAUUGACUCAGUACCCCGGCACAUUGACUCGGUAACCCUGUACAUUGACUCAGUACCCUGGCACAUUGACUCAGUACCCCGGCACAUUGACUCAGUACCCCGGCACAUUGACUCAGUACCCCGGCACAUCGACUCUGUACCCCGGCACAUUGACUCUGUACCCCGGCACAUUGACUCGGUAACCCUGUACAUUGACUCAGUACCCCGGCACAUUGACUCAGAACCCCGGCACAUUGACUCAGAACCCCGGCACAUUGACUCAUUACCCCGGCACAUUGACUCAGAACCCCGGCACAUUGACUCAGUACCCC
This 787-nucleotide long non-coding RNA is filed under the name Salmo salar (Atlantic salmon). Its description in RNAcentral is "lncRNA (ENSSSAG00000120481.1)". Lineage: Eukaryota; Metazoa; Chordata; Actinopteri; Salmoniformes; Salmonidae. The record is from RNAcentral.